UAUUCGGAGAAUCCCUAAACUAUUAUACUGUGAACAUUACAUUAGUUGAAAAUUAUUUGUUUUGCCGUGAUGCUGUACGCAUGUACGAAGAAAGCGAUCCUGUGUUGAAAACCAUUCUGUGUGAACUCAAUAUUCGUACAUCAUUAGAUAACUUUAAGGAUAUUUUUGCAAUGAAAUCUGAUUUGAUACAAUUGCAUUCGUAGAAAAGAUCGGAGCUACAAUCGACUAUUGUUAUUCAAAUAAUACAAAUUUGUAACAAGGAAUGACUUGGAGAUGUCCUCGGAACAUCCUUAGGACGUAAAAACAUCUUCUGGACAUCUUUAGGAUGUCCCUUGAAAGUUUAUGUUGUCUAGAAUUGUUGUUACACUUAUUCUUAAAUAUAAAGAUUACUGUUUACUUUAUUUACAAUAUGGAGAGUGAAAAGGAUUUACAUGAACUUACAGUGCACAUGUACACAUUGGUAGAAUUUAUUGGUAGAAUUAACAAGAGGUCGACGGCCUUUAAUGAAAAAAAUCGAUAUUGUUCCAACUUUUUGGGUGGACUACAAUAACCAAACUAAGAAAUUUAUUACGAAAUUUUUAAGUCCACCAUAUAUAUCUGAAAAUGUAAAUAAAUUACAUCAUAUGGUAAAAAUUUGUGAUUAUCCAUUACAAGAAUGGCCUGUAUAUUCAGUGAUUUUAAAAGGACGUGCUAAGACAUAUGAAGAAACAUUAGAUAAACUUGCACGUUUAGAAAAAGAACAUGUAUUUACAUUGGAUAAUACUCUGAUAAUACUUCACCAGAAAAAGAAGUCGAAAUUAUCAUAAAGCAAAAUAAAUUAAAAAAUCAAGCUGAAGAUCUGAAAAAGAAAUUUGUAGUACAUAAAUUAGGUUCCACAUCUUGUUCUCAGGACUUUGAAGAGAUGGUAACGUCUGAAGAGGAAUCGUCUGAAAAUAAAGACACAAUAAUAAGAAAGAAUUUGAAAAAAAAAUAUUUUAUCUGCAACAAAUCCACCUGAAUCAGAAAACACCCAGAAAAAGCCGAGGCUAUUGUUUGUUAAUUCCUUAAAGAGAAAGAAAUUAGAAAGGGCAUCUACUUCAAAAAGUCCAGAUAAUUUUAAAAUUUUUAUAAAAGCAACGAGACAAAAUAUUUCCUUAUA
This is a long non-coding RNA of Harpegnathos saltator (Jerdon's jumping ant), 1138 nucleotides long. RefSeq lists it as uncharacterized. NCBI's taxonomy places the organism in Eukaryota, Metazoa, Arthropoda, Insecta, Hymenoptera, Formicidae. The transcript has 5 exons. The record is from RefSeq and is a predicted model, not a curated record.